Molecule: ribosomal RNA, 672 nt
Filed under: Eimeria papillata
Lineage: Eukaryota; Apicomplexa; Conoidasida; Eucoccidiorida; Eimeriidae
Description: SSU rRNA
Rfam family: Eukaryotic small subunit ribosomal RNA
Source: RNAcentral
UCAAAGAUUAAGCCAUGCAUGUCUAAGUAUAAGCUUUUAUACGGUGAAACUGCGAAUGGCUCAUUAAAACAGUUAUAGUUUAUUUGAUGGUCUCUUUUACAUGGAUAACCAUGGUAAUUCUAUGGCUAAUACAUGCGCACUCGCCUCCUUCUCUGGAGGGGCUGUGUUUAUUAGAUACAAAACCAACCCACUUUGUGGAGUCCUGGUGAUUCAUAGUAACCGAACGGAUCGCAGUUGGCUUCGGCCCGCGAUGGAUCUUUCAAGUUUCUGACCUAUCAGCUUUCGACGGUAGGGUAUUGGCCUACCGUGGCAGUGACGGGUAACGGGGAAUUAGGGUUCGAUUCCGGAGAGGGAGCCUGAGAAACGGCUACCACAUCUAAGGAAGGCAGCAGGCGCGCAAAUUACCCAAUGAAAACAGUUUCGAGGUAGUGACGAGAAAUAACAAUACAGGGCAUUUUAUGCUCUGUAAUUGGAAUGAUGGGAAUGUAAAACCCUUCCAGAGUAACAAUUGGAGGGCAAGUCUGGUGCCAGCAGCCGCGGUAAUUCCAGCUCCAAUAGUGUAUAUUAGAGUUGUUGCAGUUAAAAAGCUCGUAGUUGGAUUUCUGUCGUGGUCAUCCGGCUCCGCCCGUAUGGGUGUGCGCCUGGUUUGGCCUCGGCUUUCUUCCGGUAGCC